UUACGGCCUUAGCCCGUUGAAACACCGGUUCUCGUCCGUUCACCGAAGUUGAGCAACGUUGAACCUGGUCAAUAUUUAGAUGGGUGACUGCUCAGCAAUACCAGGCGCUGAA
Non-coding RNA from Acanthosepion pharaonis, 112 nucleotides. Lineage: Eukaryota; Metazoa; Mollusca; Cephalopoda; Sepiida; Sepiidae. The record is from the annotation of a GenBank genome assembly.